Molecule: long non-coding RNA, 1243 nt
Organism: Onychostoma macrolepis
Lineage: Eukaryota; Metazoa; Chordata; Actinopteri; Cypriniformes; Cyprinidae
Exons: 8
Source: RefSeq, a predicted model, not a curated record
UCCGACAAUAACGUGCACGGUGUCAUAGAACUACAUUUAAAUAAAUUAAAUGUAUGAUUUAAUAAUAAUUUAAUUAGAUUUAAGUUAUUUAUUUAUGCAAUGUUCUAAUUUUAUAUGAUUAUUUAUGUAAAUUCUGCGUGACUGUGACGUGUUUUAAUGCGUGCGUGCUGAACGUUCGAGCCGCGUUGGUUCAAACACUGGAGCGGAGGGAGUUGCCAUGGAAACGGAGCGGCAACACAACGACUGACAAGCAGGAAGCUCCGAUUCUCGCUGCUGUUUUUACUGUUUUCGAAGAAAAACAAAAGCACGGCAAGAUGGGAGGCUCCAAGAUUUCACAAUUUCUGAAGGGAGCCGCAGAUGGAGAAGUAAGGAACACAAGUGAACAGACUCAGAGCGGACCUCCUGUCGGACAACAUCUCCCAGGCACAAUGAACAAUAUGGUUGGUUACUAGAGAUUACACCAGUUCCAGUUUGGAUCCAGCCUGGCGUGUGAAGACGCCAACACUCAAAGACUUCAGAUGAUGGCAACUAGAUGAACAUACAAAGCUGCCAAAUAAUCCUUAUAUUGUAAUCAUUGCCCUAAAAGGGAGAAACUUGUCAACAAAUCUACCUCACAGCGCAUCAAUGAAAGCAGUUUGGCAAUUACAGACGGGCGUGUUGGAUCAGGGUUAGAUCUGAAUUCUGCAGGGAGAAACUUGUCAACAAAUCUACCUCACAGCGCAUCAAUGAAAGCAGUUUGGCAAUUACAGACGGGCGUGUUGGAUCAGGGUUAGAUCUGAAUUCUGCAGGGAGAAACUUGUCAACAAAUCUACCUCACAGCGCAUCAAUGAAAGCAGUUUGGCAAUUACAGACGGCGUGUUGGAUCAGGGUUAGAUCUGAAUUCUGCAGGUUUUCUGGAUUCCCAGUUGAAGACAUCAGUACAUCAGAUGUUGGCCUGGACAGCUGUAUCUACAGUACACCACACUGACCUCUGCUUUUGCAUAGAUGGCUGACUACUACCAUAGUAUUAUUGGUAUUAUGUUCUAAGGCAGAGGUACUCAAGUUCAGAGGCCAAGCGGGCCGCAUUUAAACUACAUAUUGCUAUAAUAUAAAGCACAAAUUACAAUUUGCAUCAUCAGACUUUAUUUAAGACAAUAUUUGCAGAUUUACUGAUUUAGAAAUACAGUUUAUUACUUAUCUAAGUCUUGCUUGUCCUUGUCCUAUUUAAAAUAAGACUGAGCAUGAAAUAAAUAUUAUUUUAUAU